Molecule: ribosomal RNA, 1469 nt
Filed under: Sinomicrurus japonicus (Japanese coral snake)
Lineage: Eukaryota; Metazoa; Chordata; Lepidosauria; Squamata; Elapidae
Description: 16S rRNA
Rfam family: Bacterial large subunit ribosomal RNA
Source: RNAcentral
GCCGAAUCAUAAAACCAUACAAACAUCUAUUCAUAUAUAAACAAACCAUUUGACUUACUCAGUAGAGGCGAUCGAACAGUGACACACCACUAAAAAGUACCGCAAGGGAACCACUCAAGCAACAAACAGCAAAGAUUAACCCUUGUACCUUUCGCAUCAUGGUUUAGCAAGUAAACAAAGGCAAGAUGAAUCAUAGUCCACACCCCGAAACCAGAUGAGCUACCUCAAAGCAGCCUAAAGGGCAAACCCUUCUCUGUGGCAAAAGAGUGGGAAGACUUCCAGGUAGAAGUGAAACGCCUAUCGAAUCUGGAGAUAGCUGGCUACCUAAAAAAGAAUUUAAGUUCUACUUUAGACCAAAAUUAACACCAAUAUUAACCUAAAGAUACUCAAUAGAGGUACAGCUCUAUUGAAACAGGAUACAACCUGAAUUUGAGAGGAAGCCAUUUUCCCCCACCCCGUAGGCCUUAAAGCAGCCACCUAACAAAAUAUCGUUAAAGAAUUAUAUAAACUAAUUCAAGAAUCAAACAAAACCUCCAAACCCAUUAAAGGUAAACCUACGACUGUAGGAAAUAUCCUGCUAAAACUAAUAAUAAGAUAACCUCUCUACACGCACCCAUCCGCUAGAAACAGAAAAUCUACUAGCUAUCAACAGACCUAACCAGGGUAAACACCAACCCCAUACACGCCACUCCACACACUGUGACCCCAACACAGGUGCGUCAAAAAGAAAGAUUUAACACUAUAAAAGGAACUCGGCAACCAAAGACCCCAACUGUUUAACAAAAACAUAACCUUUAGCAUAAAACCAGUAUUAAAGGCAACGCCUGCCCAGUGAACAAUUAAACGGCCGCGGUACCCUAACCGUGCAAAGGUAGCAUAAUCAUUUGUCUAUUAAUUGUAGACCUGUAUGAAAGGCAAAAUGAGGGUCUAACUGUCUCUUAUAGUAGCUCAAUUAAACUGAUCUCCCAGUACAAAAGCUGGAAUACCACCAUAAGACCAGAAGACCCUGUGAAGCUUAAACUAAACUAUUAAACCCAAUAAUAGCUACUUUCGGUUGGGGCGACCUUGGAAAAAAAAAGAACUUCCAAAUAACAAUAAUAUAAUCCCACAUAGGCCAACAAGCCUACCACGACCCAGCAAAGCUGAUAAUUGAGCCAAGUUACUCCAGGGAUAACAGCGCUAUCUUCUUCAAGAGCCCAUAUCAAAAAGAAGGUUUACGACCUCGAUGUUGGAUCAGGACAUCCUAAUGGUGCAGCCGCUAUUAAAGGUUCGUUUGUUCAACGAUUAAUAGUCCUACGUGAUCUGAGUUCAGACCGGAGCAAUCCAGGUCGGUUUCUAUCUAUGAUACGCUCCACCCAGUACGAAAGGACAGGUUGAGCAGAGCCAAUACCACACGCACGCUCUAAUCAAACAACCAUAUACCACACCCAGACCAAGAUAAGGUCAAUUAAGGUAAUCACCCUUAAUAU